GCCUGGGUGGCUCAGUCAGUUGAGCGUCUGACUUCGGCUCAGGUCGUGAUCUCGCGGUCCGUGGGUUCGAGCCCCACGUCGGGCU
RNAcentral lists this transfer RNA (85 nucleotides) under Felis catus (domestic cat). It matches the Rfam family "tRNA". Rfam says of the family: Transfer RNA (tRNA) molecules are approximately 80 nucleotides in length. Their secondary structure includes four short double-helical elements and three loops (D, anti-codon, and T loops). Further hydrogen bonds mediate the characteristic L-shaped molecular structure. tRNAs have two regions of fundamental functional importance: the anti-codon, which is responsible for specific mRNA codon recognition, and the 3' end, to which the tRNAs corresponding amino acid is attached (by aminoacyl-tRNA synthetases). tRNAs cope with the degeneracy of the genetic code in two manners: having more than one tRNA (with a specific anti-codon) for a particular amino acid; and 'wobble' base-pairing, i.e. permitting non-standard base-pairing at the 3rd anti-codon position. The record is from Rfam by way of RNAcentral. Lineage: Eukaryota; Metazoa; Chordata; Mammalia; Carnivora; Felidae.